GAUGAAGAACGUAGCGAAAUGCGAUACGUAAUGUGAAUUGCAGAAUUCAGUGAAUCAUCGAGUCUUUGAACGCACAUUGCGCCCCCUGGUAUUCCGGGGGGCAUGCCUGUCCGAGCGUCAUUACAACCCUCAAGCUCAGCUUGGUGUUGGGCCCCGCCGCCCCGGCGGGCCCUAAAGUCAGUGGCGGUGCCGUCCGGCUCCGAGCGUAGUAAUUCUUCUCGCUCUGGAGGCCCGGUCGUGUGCUCGCCAGCAACCCCCAAUUUUUUUCAGGUUGACCUCGGAUCAGGUAGGGAUACCCGCUGAACUUAAGCAUAUCAAUAAGCGGAGGA
Molecule: unclassified non-coding RNA, 329 nt
Filed under: soil metagenome
Description: partial contains 5.8S ribosomal RNA, internal transcribed spacer 2, and large subunit ribosomal RNA
Rfam family: 5.8S ribosomal RNA (bases 1-120)
Source: RNAcentral